RNAcentral lists this long non-coding RNA (960 nucleotides) under Marmota monax (woodchuck). The record is from RNAcentral. Lineage: Eukaryota; Metazoa; Chordata; Mammalia; Rodentia; Sciuridae.
AGCUUGGCCUCUGCGGGCGUGCAAGGUGCAGGCCACUUUGCCGGGCGCCCUCCUCCACGUUCAGCCAGUGGUGUUUUAGGAGUGAGGACCCACGGACAAAGUGUUAGGUGCAGGACAGGCUGAGUAAGUUGUCUGCAGGGCAUGCCAAACAAAGUUAGCUGCAGGAUGACCUGGCCACUCAAACCCUCUGUCUGGUUCUGUAUCACCUGUUUGCUUCAAGCCCAAACGCCCAAGCCCCCUCUCAAGGCUGAGCGCUUCGCCCCCCUGCUCAAAGCUGAACACUCAACCCCCUGCUCAAGGCCGAGCACUUAACCCCCUUGUGUGCCAACAAGGCAGCUUGCAGACCCAGAGACCCCAUUAGAUUUGGGCUAUAAAAACUCCCUCCUGCCGGGCCCCUCUCUCUCUUCUCUUGCUCUGUCUCCUUUGCACGUGUGCGCUCUCUCUCUCUCUUUCUCUUCCUCUCUCUUCUCUGUUGCACUGCUGCAAUAAAGAUCUCUUGGUUGCUCUGAGUGUUGUGGUCACUUUUCUUUCACAAAGCACUGGCCACAGCUUGGGCACUCAUAGGGCCACUCGCCCCUAUGGAUGUGGCGGUGCUCACUGAGGGUGAAGUGGCCGCAGAAGGCCUUCUUUCAGUGUGGAACUUCUGGUGCUACCGCACUGGAAGGACUGGUCCCUCUCGCACACACGGCAGUGGGCCUCCAGCUGCGCGCUCUGUGGAAGGACUUCCUGCACUCGCUGCACUGGAAACGCUUCUCCUCCAUGUGGAUCUGCUGGUGGCGCAGCAGGAUGGAGCUCUGCUUGAAGGCCUUGCCACACUCGCGCUCCCUGCACUGGUACAGCCUCCCCCACCCCCCCAGCAGCGAGUUGUAUCUGAACACCUUGCCGCAGGCGCACCUGUAGCCUCCCUGCAUCCUGGCAGGGCUCCUGGAAGGCCUGCCAACAUGCACUUCCUGCAGGGAC